GUGGGGAAUCUUGCGCAAUGGGCGAAAGCCUGACGCAGCCAUGCCGCGUGAAUGAUGAAGGUCUUAGGAUUGUAAAAUUCUUUCACCGGGGACGAUAAUGACGGUACCCGGAGAAGAAGCCCCGGCUAACUUCGUGCCAGCAGUCGCGGUAAUACGAAGGGGGCUAGCGUUGCUCGGAAUUACUGGGCGUAAAGGGCGCGUAGGCGGACAGUUUAGUCAGAGGUGAAAGCCCAGGGCUCAACCUUGGAAUUGCCUUUGAUACUGGCUGUCUUGAGUACGGGAGAGGUGAGUGGAACUCCGAGUGUAGAGGUGAAAUUCGUAGAUAUUCGGAAGAACACCAGUGGCGAAGGCGACUCACUGGCCCGUUACUGACGCUGAGGCGCGAAAGCGUGGGGAGCAAACAGGAUUAGAAACCCCAGUAGUCC
RNAcentral lists this ribosomal RNA (425 nucleotides) under uncultured bacterium. Its description in RNAcentral is "partial 16S ribosomal RNA". It matches the Rfam family "Bacterial small subunit ribosomal RNA", at positions 354 to 796 of the family's 1533-position model. The record is from RNAcentral.